Long non-coding RNA from Lynx canadensis (Canada lynx), 492 nucleotides. RefSeq lists it as uncharacterized. The transcript has 2 exons. Lineage: Eukaryota; Metazoa; Chordata; Mammalia; Carnivora; Felidae. The record is from RefSeq and is a predicted model, not a curated record.
CUUGCGCGUUGGGUUGGAGUCUUGCAUGUACCAACGGUACAGGAUCUCCAGCUGCUCGGGCAGGAUGGUGAUGAGGCAGCCAAGAAACAGGUUGAGUGAGCUGCUAACUGUAACACAACUCCAAGGAGGGGAAACCAGAGGACUGGCGGGGCACAGAGACCUGGGCCCUCCAUCUACCUGGAUCGUCUCUCAGACCCAGGAAAGGCCAAAUGAGCCUCCAGAGGUCUAGCAGUCAGAAUUCCGGGGCUCCCUCCAGCUACGAGAAACGCCAGGCCUCCCACGCUGUUCCCAGCCUUUUUACCUUGAUUACCACACCUUCCUCCCCCUCCGCAACCCCCCCCACCCCGCUUCCCGUCCCCACCAAACUCACCAGUUCCCCAUGCUUCACCAUCCCAUACUUUUCCCAAUGUCCCAAGUGGUUUGCGUCCACUCCAGGUCUUAAUUAUCAGCCAAUCUCUAAUGAUUAAACCUUUAGCGUUCAAGCCCAUGCUU